AUAACCACAAUUAGAAUCAAAUAACACAAGUACUCCCCGUUAAUCAAGGGAUUACUUCUCAAACGGAUACUAAUAGGGUUAAUUAAAGAAAGAAAUCAGUUGAAAUAUAUUGAUUAUUUCCAUAUAGGGGCAGUAAAAGUAUAAGGUAGAUAAUUGAGUCUAAGUACAAAAUAUGCUUAAAUUUUGAGAAAGGGUUCAAGGUAAAACAUCACAAUAAUUAAAGGACCGAAUCAAUCAAUUUAAACAAAUGAGUAAAUUUAGGGUUCAUAGGAAAAACCUUUUGCAAUCAGUCGCAACAUUGAGAGAGUUGGAGUAUGCUUAAAUUUUGGGAAAGGGUUCAAGGUAAAACAUCACCAUAAUUAAAGAACGGAAUCAAGUAAUUUAAAUAAACAAGUAAAUUUAGGGUUCACACGAAAAACCUUUUGCAAUUAGUCGCAACAUUGAGGGAUUUGGAAUCAAUCAAGAAAGGGUCGAUUCUACACCUCAACAUAUAAAUAGCAAGAAAUGAACAUGCAUGCAGGGUCAAACAUGUUGACUAAAAGAAGUAAUACAAACAUAUAGUAGCAGCAGGGUUAAGCUAGGAUUUCGUAGUAUAAGAAACCUAUUCAAAGCACAGUAGUCAAACAGUCACAUAGAACCAAAGUGUACAGAACCAAACUAACAGGUAAGAAAGUCAGAAAUGAGUAAAGACCUUCAAACACAUAGUAAUAAGUAAGGAAAACCCUUUUAAAAAAAUUAGGGCUUCAACACUAGUCGAGUUUAAAAAAAUGGUAAGAACUCAGAAUCAGAUAAGUCAAACAAGGACAAAGAACUUACUCGAACAAGUAUACACCAAACAAAUAAGGACAAUUUUAGAAAUCGGAUAAGACAAAAAAAGUCCUAGUGUUUUCAACAUGUUGAAUCAAGUAAGAGAUAAAACAUGAAUACAUCGUUUGAACAUAGUAAAAAUCAUGGAACAACACCAAAAGAUCAGAAAAGAGAUCUUUUAAAAGAGAUUAAGAGAAACCCUAGUCGUUGAAGACGAAGAGUUGUUUUUUAAUAAGGGGAAACUUUUAAGAAAAACACUUGAGAGGUUCAUAACAUAAACAGAUCUAAGGUAGAUAUGAAAGAAAAUUAAAAGCUCUUAAAGGUUAGAGUAUCAGAGAAUCCUGAAAAGGUGAGAAAGACCUUGAAAAGUUAGCGACCUAGCCAGAAAAUUCAAGGAUCUGACUUGAACAGCCGUGGAUGGAUUGGAAAAGACCAGAGAAAGAGGUUGAGCAAGGUUUGGAAAAGUUUUUUUAAAAUCUGUCUAUGAAAUCACAUGAACGGGCUACCAGAAGCUAUAUGAGGUUGGUAUACAUAUCAAACAUCCAUGAGAGUCACUGGAUUAGGUGGGGAUUGAUGUGAAUUAAGGUGAAAUUGCGCGGAGGCGGCUAGGGUUUAUGUGAGGCUGCAGAGAGAAUUGAGAGGAAAUGGAUUCAAGGGCGGCGGGUG
This 1473-nucleotide long non-coding RNA is filed under the name Nicotiana benthamiana. Its description in RNAcentral is "long non-coding RNA (NBEN_LNC026442)". The record is from RNAcentral. Lineage: Eukaryota; Viridiplantae; Streptophyta; Magnoliopsida; Solanales; Solanaceae.